RNAcentral lists this ribosomal RNA (253 nucleotides) under uncultured bacterium. RNAcentral describes it as "partial 16S ribosomal RNA". It matches the Rfam family "Bacterial small subunit ribosomal RNA", at positions 524 to 776 of the family's 1533-position model. The record is from RNAcentral.
GACGAGGGGUCCUAGCGUUGUUCGGAAUUACUGGGCGUAAAGCGUAUGUAGGCGGCUUUUUAAGUCGGGUGUGAAAUCCCCCGGCUUAACCUGGGAACUGCGUCUGAUACUGGGAGGCUAGAGUAUGGGAGAGGGAUGUGGAAUUCCAGGUGUAGCGGUGAAAUGCGUAGAUAUCUGGAGGAACACCGGUGGCGAAGGCGGCAUCCUGGACCAUAACUGACGCUGAUCCGCGAAAGCUAGGGGAGCAAACGGG